UUAAGCGACUAAGCGUACACGGUGGAUGCCCUGGCAGUCAGAGGCGAUGAAGGACGUGCUAAUCUGCGAAAAGCGUCGGUAAGGUGAUAUGAACCGUUAUAACCGGCGAUGUCCGAAUGGGGAAACCCAGUGUGAUUCGUCACACUAUCGUUAACUGAAUACAUAGGUUAACGAGGCGAACCGGGGGAACUGAAACAUCUAAGUACCCCGAGGAAAAGAAAUCAACCGAGAUUCCCCCAGUAGCGGCGAGCGAACGGGGAGCAGCCCAGAGUCUGAAUCAGCUUGUGUGUUAGUGGAACGGUCUGGAAAGUCCGACGGUACAGGGUGAUAGUCCCGUACACCAAAAUGCACAGGUUGUGAACUCGAAGAGUAGGGCGGGACACGUGGUAUCCUGUCUGAAUAUGGGGGGACCAUCCUCCAAGGCUAAAUACUCCUGACUGACCGAUAGUGAACCAGUACCGUGAGGGAAAGGCGAAAAGAACCCCGGCGAGGGGAGUGAAAAAGAACCUGAAACCGUGUACGUACAAGCAGUGGGAGCACCUUCGGGUGUGACUGCGUACCUUUUGUAUAAUGGGUCAGCGACUUAUAUUCUGUAGCAAGGUUAACCGUAUAGGGGAGCCGCAGGGAAACCGAGUCUUAACUGGGCGUUAAGUUGCAGGGUAUAGACCCGAAACCCGGUGAUCUAGCCAUGGGCAGGUUGAAGGUUGGGUAACACUAACUGGAGGACCGAACCGACUAAUGUUGAAAAAUUAGCGGAUGACUUGUGGCUGGGGGUGAAAGGCCAAUCAAACCGGGAGAUAGCUGGUUCUCCCCGAAAGCUAUUUAGGUAGCGCCUCGUGAACUCAUCUUCGGGGGUAGAGCACUGUUUCGGCUAGGGGGUCAUCCCGACUUACCAACCCGAUGCAAACUACGAAUACCGAAGAAUGUUAUCACGGGAGACACACGGCGGGUGCUAACGUCCGUCGUGAAGAGGGAAACAACCCAGACCGCCAGCUAAGGUCCCAAAGUCAUGGUUAAGUGGGAAACGAUGUGGGAAGGCACAGACAGCCAGGAUGUUGGCUUAGAAGCAGCCAUCAUUUAAAGAAAGCGUAAUAGCUCACUGGUCGAGUCGGCCUGCGCGGAAGAUGUAACGGGGCUAAACCAUGCACCGAAGCUGCGGCAGCGACACUAUGUGUUGUUGGGUAGGGGAGCGUUCUGUAAGCCUGCGAAGGUGACCUGUGAGGGUUGCUGGAGGUAUCAGAAGUGCGAAUGCUGACAUAAGUAACGAUAAAGCGGGUGAAAAGCCCGCUCGCCGGAAGACCAAGGGUUCCUGUCCAACGUUAAUCGGGGCAGGGUGAGUCGACCCCUAAGGCGAGGCCGAAAGGCGUAGUCGAUGGGAAACAGGUUAAUAUUCCUGUACUUGGUGUUACUGCGAAGGGGGGACGGAGAAGGCUAUGUUAGCCGGGCGACGGUUGUCCCGGUUUAAGCAUGUAGGCUGAUUAUCCAGGCAAAUCCGGAUAAUCAAGGCUGAGGUGUGAUGACGAGGCACUACGGUGCUGAAGUAACAAAUGCCCUGCUUCCAGGAAAAGCCUCUAAGCAUCAGGUAACAUCAAAUCGUACCCCAAACCGACACAGGUGGUCAGGUAGAGAAUACCAAGGCGCUUGAGAGAACUCGGGUGAAGGAACUAGGCAAAAUGGUGCCGUAACUUCGGGAGAAGGCACGCUGGUGUGUAGGUGAAGCCCCUGCGGGUGGAGCUGAGACCAGUCGAAGAUACCAGCUGGCUGCAACUGUUUAUUAAAAACACAGCACUGUGCAAACACGAAAGUGGACGUAUACGGUGUGACGCCUGCCCGGUGCCGGAAGGUUAAUUGAUGGGGUCAUCCGUAAGGAGAAGCUCUUGAUCGAAGCCCCGGUAAACGGCGGCCGUAACUAUAACGGUCCUAAGGUAGCGAAAUUCCUUGUCGGGUAAGUUCCGACCUGCACGAAUGGCGUAAUGAUGGCCAGGCUGUCUCCACCCGAGACUCAGUGAAAUUGAACUCGCUGUGAAGAUGCAGUGUACCCGCGGCAAGACGGAAAGACCCCGUGAACCUUUACUAUAGCUUGACACUGAACAUUGAGCCUUGAUGUGUAGGAUAGGUGGGAGGCUUUGAAGCGUGGACGCCAGUCUGCGUGGAGCCAACCUUGAAAUACCACCCUUUAAUGUUUGAUGUUCUAACGUUGGCCCCUUACCGGGGUUGCGGACAGUGUCUGGUGGGUAGUUUGACUGGGGCGGUCUCCUCCCAAAGCGUAACGGAGGAGCACGAAGGUUAGCUAAUCCUGGUCGGACAUCAGGAGGUUAGUGCAAUGGCAUAAGCUAGCUUGACUGCGAGCGUGACGGCGCGAGCAGGUGCGAAAGCAGGUCAUAGUGAUCCGGUGGUUCUGAAUGGAAGGGCCAUCGCUCAACGGAUAAAAGGUACUCCGGGGAUAACAGGCUGAUACCGCCCAAGAGUUCAUAUCGACGGCGGUGUUUGGCACCUCGAUGUCGGCUCAUCACAUCCUGGGGCUGAAGUAGGUCCCAAGGGUAUGGCUGUUCGCCAUUUAAAGUGGUACGCGAGCUGGGUUUAGAACGUCGUGAGACAGUUCGGUCCCUAUCUGCCGUGGGCGCUGGAGAAUUGAGGGGGGCUGCUCCUAGUACGAGAGGACCGGAGUGGACGCAUCACUGGUGUUCGGGUUGUCAUGCCAAUGGCACUGCCCGGUAGCUAAAUGCGGAAGAGAUAAGUGCUGAAAGCAUCUAAGCACGAAACUUGCCCCGAGAUGAGUUCUCCCUGAGACUUUAAGUCUCCUGAAGGAACGUUAAAGACGAUGACGUUGAUAGGCCGGGUGUGUAAGCGCAGCGAUGCGUUGAGCUAACCGGUACUAAUGAACCGUGAGGCUUAACCUU
RNAcentral lists this ribosomal RNA (2900 nucleotides) under Klebsiella pneumoniae. Its description in RNAcentral is "bacterial LSU rRNA". It matches the Rfam family "Bacterial large subunit ribosomal RNA". Lineage: Bacteria; Pseudomonadati; Pseudomonadota; Gammaproteobacteria; Enterobacterales; Enterobacteriaceae. The record is from RNAcentral.